RNAcentral lists this ribosomal RNA (105 nucleotides) under Clostridium sp. BL8. RNAcentral's name for it is "partial 16S ribosomal RNA". It matches the Rfam family "Bacterial small subunit ribosomal RNA", at positions 1439 to 1533 of the family's 1533-position model. Lineage: Bacteria; Bacillati; Bacillota; Clostridia; Eubacteriales; Clostridiaceae. The record is from RNAcentral.
CCGCAGAAGGAGCCAGCGGCCGAAGGUGGGAUUAGUGAUUGGGUGGAAGUCGUAACAAGGUAGCCGUAGGAGAACCUGCGGCUGGAUCACCUCCUUUCUAGGGAG